Molecule: ribosomal RNA, 253 nt
Filed under: uncultured bacterium
Lineage: Bacteria
Description: partial 16S ribosomal RNA
Rfam family: Bacterial small subunit ribosomal RNA
Source: RNAcentral
UACGUAGGUGGCAAGCGUUGUCCGGAAUUAUUGGGCGUAAAGCGCGCGCAGGUGGUUUCUUAAGUCUGAUGUGAAAGCCCACGGCUCAACCGUGGAGGGUCAUUGGAAACUGGGGAACUUGAGUGCAGGAGAGAAGAGUGGAAUUCCACGUGUAGCGGUGAAAUGCGUAGAGAUGUGGAGGAACACCAGUGGCGAAGGCGACUCUUUGGCCUGUAACUGACACUGAGGCGCGAAAGCGUGGGGAGCAAAAAGG